CUGCUCACCAUCACACCAUAACAACAACACUGCUCACCAUCACACCAUGAGAACAUCACUGCUCACCAUCACACCAUAACAACAACACUGCUCACUAUCACACCAUGAGAACAUCACUGCUCACCAUCACACCAUAACAACAUCACUGCUCACUAUCACACCAUGACAACAUCACUGCUCACCAUCACACCAUAACAACAUCACUGCUCACCAUCACACCAUAACAACAUCACUGCUCACUAUCACACCAUGAGAACAUCACUGCUCACCAUCACACCAUAACAACAACACUGCUCACUAUCACACCAUGAGAACAUCACUGCUCACUAUCACACCAUAACAACAUCACUGCUCACCAUCACACCAUAACAACAUCACUGCUCACCAUCACACCAUAACAACAUCACUGCUCACCAUCACACCAUAACAACAACACUGCUCACUAUCACACCAUAACAACAUCACUGCUCAC
Non-coding RNA from Pelobates cultripes (western spadefoot toad), 472 nucleotides. Lineage: Eukaryota; Metazoa; Chordata; Amphibia; Anura; Pelobatidae. The record is from the annotation of a GenBank genome assembly.